GAGUUUGAUUAUGGCUCAGGAUGAACGCUAGCGGCAGGCUUAACACAUGCAAGUCGAGGGGCAGCGCGAGGUAGCAAUACUUUGGCGGCGACCGGCGAAAGGGUGCGUAACGCGUGAGCAACUUGCCCGUAUCUGGGACAUAAGCGGUGGAAACGCCGUCUAAUUUCCCAUAACAACAGAGGCCGCAUGACUUCUGUUUGAAAGAUCCGUCGGAUACGGAUGGGCUCGCGAGACAUUAGCUAGUCGGCGUGGUAACGGCACACCGAGGCGACGAUGUCUAGGGGUUCUGAGAGGAAGGUCCCCCACACUGGAACUGAGACACGGUCCAGACUCCUACGGGAGGCAGCAGUGAGGAAUAUUGGUCAAUGGGCGGAAGCCUGAACCAGCCAUGCCGCGUGAAAAGGAAUAAGGCCCUAUGGGUCGUAAACUUCUUUUGUGGUGGAGCAAUAAGGUGUACGUGUACACCGACGAGAGUACAUCACGAAUAAGCAUCGGCUAACUCCGUGCCAGCCGCCGC
This 517-nucleotide ribosomal RNA is filed under the name uncultured bacterium. RNAcentral's name for it is "bacterial SSU rRNA". It matches the Rfam family "Bacterial small subunit ribosomal RNA", at positions 9 to 518 of the family's 1533-position model. The record is from RNAcentral.